This 72-nucleotide transfer RNA is filed under the name Camelus bactrianus (Bactrian camel). It matches the Rfam family "tRNA". Rfam says of the family: Transfer RNA (tRNA) molecules are approximately 80 nucleotides in length. Their secondary structure includes four short double-helical elements and three loops (D, anti-codon, and T loops). RNAcentral also lists the same sequence under 2 other names. The record is from Rfam by way of RNAcentral. Lineage: Eukaryota; Metazoa; Chordata; Mammalia; Artiodactyla; Camelidae.
AAGGGUAUAGCUCAGUGGUAGAGCGUGUGCUUAGCAUGCAUGAGGUCCUGGGUUCAAUCCCCAGCACCUCCA